Molecule: ribosomal RNA, 86 nt
Filed under: Spirochaetales bacterium
Lineage: Bacteria; Pseudomonadati; Spirochaetota; Spirochaetia; Spirochaetales
Source: RNAcentral
CCCACCCGUUCCCAUCCCGAACACGGAAGUUAAGCUCUCCCGCGCCGAUGAUACUGCUAUCGCGGGAAAGUAGGUCGUCGCCAGGC